UACGUAGGGAGCAAGCGUUGUUCGGAUUUACUGGGCGUAAAGGGCGCGUAGGCGGCGCAACAAGUCAGUUGUGAAAUCUCUGGGCUUAACCCAGAGCGGUCAACUGAUACUGUCGUGCUAGAGUGCGGAAGGGGCAACUGGAAUUCUCGGUGUAGCGGUGAAAUGCGUAGAUAUCGAGAGGAACACCUGCGGCGAAGGCGGGUUGCUGGGCCGACACUGACGCUGAGGCGCGAAAGCUAGGGGAGCGAACGGG
This 253-nucleotide ribosomal RNA is filed under the name uncultured bacterium. RNAcentral's name for it is "partial 16S ribosomal RNA". It matches the Rfam family "Bacterial small subunit ribosomal RNA", at positions 524 to 776 of the family's 1533-position model. The record is from RNAcentral.